GCCAGCAGUUCGGCUGGGCGACUCUAAAGGGACUGCCGGUGUUAAACCGGAGGAAGGUGGGGAGUGACGUCAAGUCCUCAUGGCCUUUAUGACCAGGGCUACACACGUACUACAAUGGCCGAUACAAAGGGCAGCGACACUGCGAGGUGAAGCCAAUCCCGUAAAAUCGGUCUCAGUCCGGAUUGGAGUCCGCAACUCGACUCCGUGAAGUUGGAAUCGCUAGUAAUCGUGGAUCAGCAUGCCACGGUGAAUACGUUCCCGGGCCUU
Molecule: ribosomal RNA, 267 nt
Filed under: uncultured Desulfobulbus sp.
Lineage: Bacteria; Pseudomonadati; Thermodesulfobacteriota; Desulfobulbia; Desulfobulbales; Desulfobulbaceae
Description: partial 16S ribosomal RNA
Rfam family: Bacterial small subunit ribosomal RNA
Source: RNAcentral